UUAAAGCUGAUGUAAAUGUUUACAGGCGAUGGAAGAUAGCAGAAAAAGACGUUCGCGAGUGAUGUGAGUAACACAGAACACCGGAUUACUGGAGAAAUUCCCUCAUCAUCACGCGUGUCAUGUACAUAAAUAAGUCUAAUAACGCUGAUUUUAUUGUCAUAUUCUUCUCUUUACAACAUGUUAAUUUUGAAGCUCCUGUUUAAAAUAUAACCACAACUGUGGAUUGUGUUCAACAUGGUGUGCAUAUGAAUCCUGAAGUUUUGUAUAGACAAAAUACAUCCCCCCCCCCUGUUUUUGUGUGUAUGUGUGUAGCUUUUGUUUAUCAUAGUUUUUACACCAUGCACAUUACUACGGUUCACCUCAAACAUCCUACCACCAUUAAGUUGUCUAAUGACGUCAGUAACGAUUGGACAGUGGAAAUUGUCUCCCUUUCCGGACUCGUUGUUCUUUUGGUUGGAGUUUUGUGCUUACUUUAUCACGUUGGAUCUCGUAUAUGUGCGGGUGGACAGAAUCGAAGUGCUUAUGAAAAAUUGGGCACUAGAGAUGAUCUGGAAUAUAUGGAUGGAGGAUAUUGCAAAUUGAAAGAUAUAUCUACUCAUAGUAAUGGACAACUGCUGAAUGAAAAACGUUUAUUAAUACCUGUAUGAAUGUAAAAUAUUAUUUAAUUUCCUGAAUGUAUGUACAAUGUAUAUCUUUGUAAAGAUGUAAAUACGAUUAUUUAUUUAUUACUUACCAUUUACGAUCAUAUCAAUUUUUUCAAAUAUAUAUAUUUCAACUAUG
This is a long non-coding RNA of Ostrea edulis (European flat oyster), 780 nucleotides long. RefSeq lists it as uncharacterized. The transcript has 2 exons. NCBI's taxonomy places the organism in Eukaryota, Metazoa, Mollusca, Bivalvia, Ostreida, Ostreidae. The record is from RefSeq and is a predicted model, not a curated record.